CGCGGCCUAUCAGCUUGUUGGUGGGGUAAUGGCCCACCAAGGCGACGACGGGUAGCCGGCCUGAGAGGGUGACCGGCCACACUGGGACUGAGACACGGCCCAGACUCCUACGGGAGGCAGCAGUGGGGAAUAUUGGACAAUGGGCGCAAGCCUGAUCCAGCAACGCCGCGUGAGGGAUGACGGCCUUCGGGUUGUAAACCUCUUUUACCACUGACGAAGGCCAGUAUUUGUACUGGUUGACGGUAGGUGGUGAAUAAGCACCGGCCAACUACGUGCCAGCAGCCGCGGUAAUACGUAGGGUGCGAGCGUUGUCCGGAAUUAUUGGGCGUAAAGGGCUCGUAGGCGGUUUGUCGCGUCGGGAGUGAAAACCCAGGGCUUAACCCUGGGCUGGCUUUCGAUACGGGCAGACUUGAGGCAUGCAGGGGAGAACGGAAUUCCUGGUGUAGCGGUGAAAUGCGCAGAUAUCAGGAGGAACACCGGUGGCGAAGGCGGUUCUCUGGGCAUGUUCUGAUGCUGAGGAGCGAAAGUGUGGGGAGCGAACAGGAUUAGAUACCCUGGUAGUCCACACCGUAAACGUUGGGCGCUAGGUGUGGGAUCUGUUUCCACGGGUUCCGUGCCGUAGCUAACGCAUUAAGCGCCCCGCCUGGGGAGUACGG
This 656-nucleotide ribosomal RNA is filed under the name uncultured Actinomycetes bacterium. RNAcentral's name for it is "bacterial SSU rRNA". It matches the Rfam family "Bacterial small subunit ribosomal RNA", at positions 232 to 885 of the family's 1533-position model. Lineage: Bacteria; Bacillati; Actinomycetota; Actinomycetes. The record is from RNAcentral.